This 72-nucleotide transfer RNA is filed under the name Camelus bactrianus (Bactrian camel). It matches the Rfam family "tRNA". Rfam says of the family: Transfer RNA (tRNA) molecules are approximately 80 nucleotides in length. RNAcentral also lists the same sequence under 2 other names. Lineage: Eukaryota; Metazoa; Chordata; Mammalia; Artiodactyla; Camelidae. The record is from Rfam by way of RNAcentral.
GUGGGUGUAGCUCAGUUGUAGAGCAUCUGCUUAGCAUGCACUAGGUCCUGGGUUCAAUCCCUAGUACCUCCA